Molecule: ribosomal RNA, 834 nt
Filed under: Sclerococcum sphaerale
Lineage: Eukaryota; Fungi; Ascomycota; Eurotiomycetes; Sclerococcales; Dactylosporaceae
Description: SSU rRNA
Rfam family: Bacterial small subunit ribosomal RNA
Source: RNAcentral
UUGUAGGAAUGUAAAGUUUUAAUAGAAUUACACAAUUGUGUAAUUUUCUAUAUAAAACGAAUAUUAAAGAUGUAAAGUUCUAAAUAAAAGACUUAAAUAGACAAAUUUUUAUUUACAAGUCUUGACCAAAUCACGUGCCAGCAGUCGCGGUAAGACGUGAAAGACUAGUGUUAUUCAUCAUUAUUAGGUUUAAAGGGUACGCAGAUAGUUAAUUUAUCCUAAACCAGGUAAAAAUUAACUAGAGUUUAAUAUGAGAAGGUGGAACUUUUGGUAAAGUGAUAAAAUACUCCGAAACUAAAAGGACUGGUAACGGCGAAGGCAAUCUUCUAUGUAAAAACUGACAUCAAGGGACGAAGGCUUGGGUAACGAUCAGGAUUAGAUACCCUAAUAGUCCAAGCAGAAAAUUAUGAGUGUCAUAGACUAGUGCACCUAGAAUAUAAAUAAAAGUGCUUUUAAUUAAAAAUAAUUAAAAGCGCUUUUAUUUAAUUAAAAAUAAUUAAAUGAAAGCACUUUUAUUUAUAUAAGUCUAGUCUAUAAAUGAAAAUGUAAGCACUUCACCUUAAGAGUAAUGUGGCAACGCAGAAACUUAAAUCAUUAGACCGUUUCUGAAACCAGUAGUGAAGUAUGUUGUUUAAUUCGAUGACCCGCGAAAAACCUUACCACAAUUUGUAUAUUAUUUAAUUAAUACAGGUGCUGCACGGCUGUCUUUAGUUAAUAUCGUGAGAUUUUGGUUAGUUCCAUUAAUUAACGUAAACCCUUGUUUUAUUUUUAAAUAAAAUAGCUCUGCUAAUAUUUAAUUAGUAAGUUAACAGGGAUCAAGACAAGUCAUCAUGG